UACGUAGGGUGCAAGCGUUGUCCGGAAUUACUGGGCGUAAAGGGCUCGUAGGCGGCCAACUAAGUCGGAUGUGAAAUCCCCAGGCUUAACCUGGGAACUGCAUCCGAUACUGGAUGGCUUGAAUUCGGGAGAGGGAUGCAGAAUUCCAGGUGUAGCGGUGAAAUGCGUAGAUAUCUGGAGGAAUACCGGUGGCGAAGGCGGCAUCCUGGACCGACAUUGACGCUGAGGAGCGAAAGCUAGGGGAGCAAACGGG
Molecule: ribosomal RNA, 253 nt
Filed under: uncultured bacterium
Lineage: Bacteria
Description: partial 16S ribosomal RNA
Rfam family: Bacterial small subunit ribosomal RNA
Source: RNAcentral